This 492-nucleotide ribosomal RNA is filed under the name uncultured bacterium. Its description in RNAcentral is "partial 16S ribosomal RNA". It matches the Rfam family "Bacterial small subunit ribosomal RNA", at positions 29 to 507 of the family's 1533-position model. The record is from RNAcentral.
AGUGAACGCUGGCGGCAGGCCUAACACAUGCAAGUCGAACGGCAGCACAGUAAGAGCUUGCUCUUACGGGUGGCGAGUGGCGGACGGGUGAGGAAUACAUCGGAAUCUACUUUUUCGUGGGGGAUAACGUAGGAAAACUUACGCUAAUACCGCAUACGUCCUACGGGUGAAAGCAGGAGAUCUUCGGACCUUGCGCGAUUGAAUGAGCCGAUGUCGGAUUAGCUAGUUGGCGUGGUAAAGGCCCACCAUGGCGACGAUGCGUAGCUGGUCUGAGAGGAUGAUCAGCCACACUGGAACUGAGACACGGUCCAGACUCCUACGGGAGGCAGCAGUGGGGAAUAUUGGACAAUGGGCGAAAGCCUGAUCCAGCCAUACCGCGUGAGUGAAGAAGGCCUUCGGGUUGUAAAGCCCUUUUGUUGGGGAAGAAGAGCAGCAUGUUAAUACGUCGCUGUUCUGACGGUACCCAAAGAAUAAGCACCGGCUAACUACGUG